UCCUGGUGGCUCAUCUGGUAAAGGAUCUGUCUGAAGGGCAGGAGACCCAGGUUCAAUCCCUGGAUCAGGAA
RNAcentral lists this transfer RNA (71 nucleotides) under Bos taurus (domestic cattle). It matches the Rfam family "tRNA". Rfam says of the family: Transfer RNA (tRNA) molecules are approximately 80 nucleotides in length. Their secondary structure includes four short double-helical elements and three loops (D, anti-codon, and T loops). RNAcentral also lists the same sequence under 4 other names. The record is from Rfam by way of RNAcentral. Lineage: Eukaryota; Metazoa; Chordata; Mammalia; Artiodactyla; Bovidae.